CGGUAAUACGUAGGGUGCAAGCGUUAAUCGGAAUUACUGGGCGUAAAGCGUGCGCAGGCGGUUAUGUAAGACAGUUGUGAAAUCCCCGGGCUCAACCUGGGAAUUGCAUCUGUGACUGCAUAGCUAGAGUACGGUAGAGGGGGAUGGAAUUCCGCGUGUAGCAGUGAAAUGCGUAGAUAUGCGGAGGAACACCGAUGGCGAAGGCAAUCCCCUGGACCUGUACUGACGCUCAUGCACGAAAGCGUGGGGAGCAAACAGGAUUAGAUACCCCUG
This 273-nucleotide ribosomal RNA is filed under the name uncultured Variovorax sp. RNAcentral's name for it is "partial 16S ribosomal RNA". It matches the Rfam family "Bacterial small subunit ribosomal RNA", at positions 518 to 789 of the family's 1533-position model. The record is from RNAcentral. Lineage: Bacteria; Pseudomonadati; Pseudomonadota; Betaproteobacteria; Burkholderiales; Comamonadaceae.